CUUAGCCUCUGAUACGUUUCUAACAACAUGCUCCUUAAACCUUUGGCCCUUCUCCUUUGCUUUAUCAACAGUCUCUUUGGUUUGUUGCUGAACAUCAUAGGCCUUCUCUUUUGCUUUAUCAACAGUCUCUUUGGUUUGUUGCUGAACAUCAUAGGCCUUCUCUUUUGCUUUAUCAACAGUCUCUUUGGUUUGGUGCUGAACAUCAUAGGCCUUCUCUUUUGCUUUAUCAACAGUCUCUUUGGUUCGUUGCUGAACAUCAUAGGCAUUCUCUUUUGCUUUAUCAACAGUCUCUUUUGUUUGUUGCUGAACAUCAUAGACCCUAUUAGACAUUGUCUCUCUGGCC
Molecule: long non-coding RNA, 343 nt
Filed under: Lupinus angustifolius (narrow-leaved blue lupine)
Lineage: Eukaryota; Viridiplantae; Streptophyta; Magnoliopsida; Fabales; Fabaceae
Description: long non-coding RNA (LANG_LNC001482)
Source: RNAcentral